This 253-nucleotide ribosomal RNA is filed under the name uncultured bacterium. RNAcentral describes it as "partial 16S ribosomal RNA". It matches the Rfam family "Bacterial small subunit ribosomal RNA", at positions 524 to 776 of the family's 1533-position model. The record is from RNAcentral.
GACAGAGGCCCCGAGCGUUAGGCGGAAUCACUGGGCUUAAAGCGUGUGUAGGCGGACGCCUAAGUGUCUUGUGAAAUCCCACGGCUCACCCGUGGAACCGCUGGGCAUACUGGGCGUCUUGGGCCGUUCAGGGGCGACUGGAACAAGCGGUGGAGCGGUGAAAUGCGUAGAGAUCCCCAAGAACACCAGUUGCGAAGGCGGCUGACUGGACACAUAUUGACGCUGAGGCUCGAAAGCAUGGGGAGCAAACAGG